CGGAUGACUGGCCGCAGGCGGCCGGGCGGGCUGUAACCCGCCGCUGAACUAGCGCUUCUGUGUCCAGAGGCUUCGGCCUGGCCGCCGUCGCCUGUAAGCUACGAGGAGGAGAUUUACGACUUGGCCGGGCGCAGCAAAGGCCAGACUCUGCGCGAACAGGCGCUGCGCACCAACCGGCAGGCACCUGGCGGGCACCAUCGCACGGUGGCGCAGAAGCCCCUCAAUGGCCAGCGCCAGCUGCAGCCGCGGCCGCGCAGUCGUCCCACCUGAGCUUGGGCGAAUGUGGAUUGGGAAAGUCGACAUUAAUCAACUCAUUAUUCCUCAUAGAUUUGUAUUCUCCAGAGUAUCCAGGUCCUUCUCACAGAAUUAAAAAGACUGUACAGCUGGCAGCCUGUUAUCGAUUACAUUGAUAGUAAAUUUGAGGACUACCUAAAUGCAGAAUCAUGCGUGAACAGACAUCAGAUGCCUGAUAACAGGGUGCAGUGUUGUUCAUACUUCAUUGCUCCUUCAGGACAUGGAAUUGCUAAAGGACACAAGGAAAAUCACAGCAGCUUACUUUUUCCUCAACGGAUAUUUGGGCACCUUCACGAGUGUUAGAUACCAUGCUAGGUCCUGAGGAUACAGAUGAAUGAGACAAGGCCCUCACUGCGAAGAGUAUUUCAGUGAGAAGAUGGGAGAAACAAAUACAGAUGCUCUUCGACUUGGGACAGGGUUACAUUAACCCAUCACUUAAACCAUUGGAUAUUGAGUUUAUGAAGCGUUUGCAUGAAAAAGUGAGUAUCACCCCACUUAUUGCCAAAGCAGACACACUCACACCAGAGGAAUGCCAACAGUUUAAAAAACAGGUAACUUUUCCGGUCACACACAACAGACUGAUUUUCCUGUGGAAGACCUCACAGGAGUUCUCUUGAACCAGGAGACUAUUUUGAGCUGAAAUACCUGGAGCCCUCUCAAGCUAUUUGGGCCUUUCAAUUUGAAACCCAGGUUUGGAUGAUUCUAAGCUCUAUGGCAGAGACUGUAAUCAUUUUCUCUUCACCCUCAGGUUGGGGACUCACCCUCAGGGUUGGGAGUGACUGCUGUCUCUCCAGCCCCCACCAAUUACACCAUGUUCUGGUUGUUAAAAUCCAGUGUAUGCAUGAAAUGUAAUAAAAGUAUCUUCGCAGCACUAA
Molecule: long non-coding RNA, 1169 nt
Organism: Homo sapiens (human)
Lineage: Eukaryota; Metazoa; Chordata; Mammalia; Primates; Hominidae
Gene: SEPTIN7P11
Product: septin 7 pseudogene 11
Source: Ensembl